This 275-nucleotide ribosomal RNA is filed under the name Acartia clausii. Its description in RNAcentral is "partial 28S ribosomal RNA". It matches the Rfam family "Eukaryotic large subunit ribosomal RNA", at positions 666 to 944 of the family's 3401-position model. Lineage: Eukaryota; Metazoa; Arthropoda; Copepoda; Calanoida; Acartiidae. The record is from RNAcentral.
CCAAGGAGUCUUGCAAAUGAAUGCUUUGCAAUGUUGAAUGCAAAAAAGCGAGUGAAGGCAAAAAGUAAUAACCCGCAAGGGGUUAAGAUUGUUACUUCAUAAUAAUUGUAAAUUAUUUGGGGUAAACAAUGGUUAUUUGCAAGGACCCGAAAGAUGGUGAACUAUGCCUGUUCAGAAGGAAUCCAGGUGAAAGCCUGGUGAAAGUUCUUAGCGGUUCUGACGUGCAAAUCGAUCGUCAGAAAUGGGCAUAGGGGCGAAAGACUAAUCGAACCAUC